GACGAACGCUGGCGGCGUGCUUAACACAUGCAAGUCGAACGGAAAGGCCCUGCUUUUGUGGGGUGCUCGAGUGGCGAACGGGUGAGUAACACGUGAGUAACCUGCCCUUGACUUUGGGAUAACUUCAGGAAACUGGGGCUAAUACCGGAUAGGAGCUCCUGCUGCACGGUGGGGGUUGGAAAGUUUCGGCGGUUGGGGAUGGACUCGCGGCUUAUCCGCUUGUUGGUGGGGUAGUGGCUUACCAAGGCUUUGACGGGUAGCCGGCCUGAGAGGGUGACCGGCCACAUUGGGACUGAGAUACGGCCCAGACUCCUACGGGAGGCAGCAGUGGGGAAUAUUGCACAAUGGGCGGAAGCCUGAUGCAGCAACGCCGCGUGCGGGAUGACGGCCUUCGGGUUGUAAACCGCUUUCGCCUGUGACGAAGCGUGAGUGACGGUAAUGGGUAAAGAAGCACCGGCUAACUACGUG
This 468-nucleotide ribosomal RNA is filed under the name uncultured bacterium. Its description in RNAcentral is "partial 16S ribosomal RNA". It matches the Rfam family "Bacterial small subunit ribosomal RNA", at positions 28 to 507 of the family's 1533-position model. The record is from RNAcentral.